CCUACGGGUGGCAGCAGUGGGGAAUAUUGGGCAAUGGGCGCAAGCCUGACCCAGCAACGCCGCGUGAAGGAAGAAGGCUUUCGGGUUGUAAACUUCUUUUCUCAGGGACGAAGCAAGUGACGGUACCUGAGGAAUAAGCCACGGCUAACUACGUGCCAGCAGCCGCGGUAAUACGUAGGUGGCAAGCGUUAUCCGGAUUUACUGGGUGUAAAGGGCGUGUAGGCGGGAAUGCAAGUCAGAUGUGAAAACCACGGGCUCAACCUGUGGCCUGCAUUUGAAACUGUAGUUCUUGAGUGCUGGAGAGGCAGACGGAAUUCCGAGUGUAGCGGUGAAAUGCGUAGAUAUUAGGAGGAACACCAGUGGCGAAGGCGGUUUGCUGGACAGUAACUGACGCUGAGGCGCGAAAGCGUGGGGAGCAAACAGGAUUAGAUACCCGAGUAGUC
RNAcentral lists this ribosomal RNA (443 nucleotides) under uncultured bacterium. Its description in RNAcentral is "partial 16S ribosomal RNA". It matches the Rfam family "Bacterial small subunit ribosomal RNA", at positions 338 to 795 of the family's 1533-position model. The record is from RNAcentral.